Long non-coding RNA from Passer domesticus (house sparrow), 770 nucleotides. RefSeq lists it as uncharacterized. The record is from RefSeq and is a predicted model, not a curated record. Lineage: Eukaryota; Metazoa; Chordata; Aves; Passeriformes; Passeridae. The transcript is spliced from 3 exons.
CUGGGGGCUCUGGAGCGCCUUCCCUAUCCUGUCAAGGCCCUUGUGGACUCCUCAGACGGCUUUUCCCUCAGGAUUUUGCCCACAGGAACAACAUUGUGGCCAUUAUGGAAAUUUCCCCUAACCAGCAGGAAUUGUCUGCUCACUUCCAGCCAUGAAAAGCUCAGCUGCUGGCCAGGAUUUCUGAGACACUUCAGCAUCCCUCCUCAUCCUCCCACAGCAGGGACGGUCCCAGGCCACCAGAGCUGAUCCCUGUGCCAGAUGUGCUCCAAGGAGAAGGAACACCCUGACACGUGUGCAAACACAGACACUCCCUGGGGCCUCUGCAGUGGAUUCGACUUUGAUUUUCACCUGUUUGCUUUAAUUGAAAGGAAAAGGUCAUUUUAGCACAACAUUCCACAGAAUUCACUGCCUAUUCCCAUCUGGAGACACUGCUGUCUCUCUUAUCUGACAUUUCCAUGACAAAUUAAGUUCCUCAGACACCUUUUGAGGAUGUGAAGUGAUUAAUAUCUACCAGAACUCCCAAACAGAAUAAACUCUGCCUCUCACUGCUGCAGCUUUAAUGAGCUCCUCCUCAGGGGAGGGACACAGAGCCCGUAACCCUGUGUGACACCUUGGGAGGGGGGAGCAGAUCCUAGAACUUCCAGGGAAUUCUCUCCUGCAUGUUGAACAGCCCAAACUCUGCCAAGAUCCUUCUCCCAGAACCUGAACACAGGACUGGGGCAAUUAUUUGUAUUAAAUAACAAUAGGGACAUCAGUUCUUAUUUGUAGAA